AUUGAACGCUGGCGGCAGGCCUAACACAUGCAAGUCGAACGAGUGGCGGACGGGUGAGUAAUGUCUGGGAAACUGCCUGAUGGAGGGGGAUAACUACUGGAAACGGUAGCUAAUACCGCAUACCAUCGGAUGUGCCCAGAUGGGAUUAGCUAGUCGGUGGGGUAAAGGCUCACCUAGGCGACGAUCCCUAGCUGGUCUGAGAGGAUGACCAGCGACACUGGAACUGAGACAAGGUCCAGACGCCUACGGGAGGAAGCAGUGGGGAAUAUUGCACAAUGGGCGCAAGCCUGAUGCAGCCAUGCCGCGUGUAUGAAGAAGGCCUUCGGGUUGUAAAGUACGUUCAGCGGGGAGGCGUUACACGCAGAAGAAGCACCGGCUAACUCCGUGCCAGCAGCCGCGGUAAUUC
This 406-nucleotide ribosomal RNA is filed under the name uncultured bacterium. RNAcentral's name for it is "partial 16S ribosomal RNA". It matches the Rfam family "Bacterial small subunit ribosomal RNA", at positions 30 to 526 of the family's 1533-position model. The record is from RNAcentral.